RNAcentral lists this ribosomal RNA (468 nucleotides) under uncultured bacterium. RNAcentral's name for it is "partial 16S ribosomal RNA". It matches the Rfam family "Bacterial small subunit ribosomal RNA", at positions 28 to 507 of the family's 1533-position model. The record is from RNAcentral.
GACGAACGCUGGCGGCGUGCUUAACACAUGCAAGUCGAACGGAAAGGCCCUGCUUUUGUGGGGUGCUCGAGUGGCGAACGGGUGAGUAACACGUGAGUAACCUGCCCUUGACUUUGGGAUAACUUCAGGAAACUGGGGCUAAUACCGGAUAGGAGCUCCUGCUGCAUGGUGGGGGUUGGAAAGUUUCGGCGGUUGGGGAUGGACUCGCGGCUUAUCAGCUUGUUGGUGGGGUAGUGGCUUACCAAGGCUUUGACGGGUAGCCGGCCUGAGAGGGUGACCGGCCACAUUGGGACUGAGAUACGGCCCAGACUCCUACGGGAGGCAGCGGUGGGGAAUAUUGCACAAUGGGCGGAAGCCUGAUGCAGCAACGCCGCGUGCGGGGUGACGGCCUUCGGGUUGUAAACCACUUUCGCCUGUGACGAAGCGUGAGUGACGGUAAUGGGUAAAGAAGCACCGGCUAACUACGUG